AAACAAAACACAGAUAAUACAGAUGUUAACCCCUGAUCCUUCCAGAUGUUUGAUAGUUUUAACAACUGCCAAGUCAAAUUUCUUGAAGACAUCCAACCCUUUUCUGAUCUCUCCAAAAACAAAACUCAAUUUUUCAUUUAGAAAACCUCACAAACCUGCAAUGACUUCAGAUCACACAAAACCAGUCAGAAUAAUAACACUGCAGGACGUGUAACUCAAGUCUUUGCUACUCAUGUAUCUAGACUGUAGUGUUACAAAAACAAAGAAAGAAAUCAGAUGGACCAAUCCCCCCAAAACUCCUGUGCAACGUUAACAUAAAAGAGCUAUUUUAUGGAAAAUCAGUGACGUCUCCCAGCUGACAGCAGGUUUAACAUGCUUAUAUUAGAAAAUCAUUUUGACUCAGGAGGACUCGCAGGUAGAAGACGAGGCUGGUAUCAAAACGCAGGUCAUCAAAGAUUUUUUCAUAUAAUCCGACUCAUACUGAGCAGCAUCCAUCCCACAUGGUGUCGAGAGCCCUAAACGUUUUACCCAGUGAAUUCCACAGAUGUCCACAGAGCAGACAUCCAGGGUCUCAAUGCCAGUUUGUUCCUCUACAACACAAAAUAUUUUGGCUGUGACUCGUAAGAAUAACUUUAUUGAUCCCAAAGGGAAAUUCAUAGUUUUUACCCGUGUCUUGGAGUGGUUGAAGUUUUAAAAAACUGAGCUUAAAUGAGCCAGCUGUUAAAAUUUCAUGUAGAUUAUCUCCUGAAGUUGUUGUAAAUGCCGAGGUGCUCUGGUUGGAGUCCAGUUUCACAUUUUUCUUAUCAAACAUCAUUUUAAGGUUAAGCUGAACACAUGAAAACAUGGAAUGAGUCACUUGUAUGAGUGACACUCAGGCAGUCUGAAUCUAAUGCUCUACAGUUCCUCCUUUUCAUUUCACUUCUAUGUAGAAAAACUAUUUCGGUCUGAAAUCGAUCUUUCCUUCUCGUCUUCGUCCGCCGCCUCUCAGACUGCUUCCAUCCAUCGUUGGUACCAACCUUCAGCUCACUCUGGCUGGCUGUGCCCUCUGAAUGGCUGAUAUCAGAGCUGUCUUGUUUAAGAGCUCAAGUCUGUGCUGCACUGGUGUUUGAGCUCUGCCUCCUGUUGUCCACAUUACACCUGAAUCACAGUGUGAAUGCAUUUUGAAUUUUGCAGGAAAACUGUUAAAUUGUGUCCAAAUGGGUGAAAACUGAUUGUGGUUUUUGUGAAACAACUGAUUCAAUCAAUUUUGCUACUAAUAUCAAAAGUCAAUGAUGAGUGACAGAUCGAGUCCUGAUGCCUCCCGCUGCCUCUUUGACCGCUGUAUUAUGGAGGCACUACCCAGGAUUACUCGGCUUAUACGCCAACUUCCCCACACAAACAACUGCCCAAAACUUUGCCUUAUACUGAAGCAGAAGUGCAAUCGCAAAAGUCAAUAUGGUCUAAAAGCUGCUCUGACUUCUGUCUGAUCCUGCCAUAUGAAGAGCGAGCUUAGAGGCCGGGGAAAUAAGACGAGCAGCUUUUCAAGAUUCACAGAAUUACUUUUAAAGUUUAGAGAUUUAAGCUGUGAGCGUCCCUUUAGACUUGAAAAAGGAAGCUUUGUUCUCUUAUUUAAACUCUGCAUUUUUGGAAAUUCUUACAUGUAUUUUGGCAUUUGGAGGAAAAAUUUCUGCCUUCAGUGUGUAAAUUUAUGUCCAAGAGAUUUGCAUAAUGGCAACUUAGAAAUUAUCCUAAUUAGCGAGUGGAUAGUCUCCAAUUGUAUUGAAGAUAAACGGUGCCAUAUACAAUGAGCCAAUUCAUUGUUCCCUAUUAGAGGAACGCUGGGAAAAAGAGAAGAAGAGAACGACCCCCUGCUGCGAACAUGAAAAUGGAAACCAAGCGUCCAAACUGGCAGGACGUGACGGCGGAUCAGCCAAAAGCUUUGCUGCCGAUAAAUCAAACAAGGCAGCACUCAAAGAUAAGAAGUCCGAGCUGCUCUGCAUCUGCUCGGCCCACCCGGAUUAGAACUUGUAAUCAUGCUCACCUCCCGGAACGAGGCGAUCCCGCCAAACAAUAGAAACAUCUUUAAUCAUGAGAGAAGAUGUCAGAGCCACGCGGAUUUGUUUUGUCAGUGUUCCUCCAGUGGGGUGGGGGGAGAUUCUGAAGGAUUACAGGCUGCGUCUGAUCUCUUAAAGAUACAAAUAAGUGGCGAAAACAUGCGUGUGAUUGUUCUCUUGUGUGACGGGAGAUAAAAAUCUGUUAGAAAUGAACGAGAGCAGCAGGGGCUUACAGAAGUCCGUUCCCUCGCCGAACAACCACCGCCGAGCACAGAUUGAUUUGACGAGGCCGCUGAGAGGUGAACCGAGCGACGGCGAGCCAAACGGGAACGCCCACAUUACAUUUUAUCCUGCAGGGUUCAGGUUAACGAUUUUGGAGAGGGACGCGUCUGUAAAACUGUAGCUGCUGGAUGGUCUGGAACGCCUCCUCUAUCCAGUACACCGUGUUGAUUCCUAAAUGCAUUUAGAUGAGGGAGGAGAGGAGGCUGUAGGAGGAGGAACAGGUGCAUCCUUUGCAGAAGUGUUUGUACAGGUGUGCCUCACAGCUGGAAUAUACAAAACUUCUCCUUUUGAUGUUGUUUCAGUCAUUCAAGAUGAAAACUUGUUUGUGCAACUCAUCACUUUGCAUCACGCCGAAUUAAAAUUGACCCUAAACAGAAAACACGAUGAGCACCUGUUACACCUGAAAUAAUAAAAUUAAGGAAAAAAAACAUUUUAUGAAUCAGUUGUGCAACGUGUCGUAUUUAAUUGACAUGGCUUCAGGCCUGUGAGAUCUAAAUCAUCAUCGCUGUCAGAACCCUUUCUGGGUUCUUCCAAACCACAGAAUCAGGGCUGGGACGGAGGAACUUCAGUGAGUUAUAAUAAUAGCUAAUACACCUGUGGUCUCAACUCCUUCCUCGCAUCUCUGGUAGGAGGGGCUACGACAUAAUGAGAAAGGGGGCUUGAUUGACAAAUGAGAGAGUGCAUGUGCACUGCUGGAUCAUCCAUCGUGAACUGCAGCAUAUUCAAAGCCUCUUUGGUAUUUCUUUGCAGUAUAAGAGUUUUACUCACAUACAGCAUCCUGAUAGGCGGAUAUACAAAUAUGGUCAAAAUUCCACCACAGAAGGAAAUGACGAGAACAUGAAACACAAAGUUCGUCCAGAACUAAACCUGCAAACGAGGAUUAACCACGCUGAACUCAUCAUGUUCAGAGCUUUAAUCUCCAUCAGGUUUCCAGCAGACUAGGCAUAGGGGCAAAAUCAGAUUCACAUCUACCCCUUUAUAUGGAAGAUUCACCGAUUUAACAGAAGAACUGGAGCCAAAAUGCAUCUGUUGCACAGCAUCUCAAACAUGCUCAGCUUUCAGUUCGAGCUGGACGGGGCGACACUUAAGACAGCCAUCCUAACAUCAGGAACAUCUUGCUCGUGGUGUAGUGGUGGAAAGACUAAGAUUCUCUUUAAGGAUAAAAAAGGAACCAAAGAGAGGUACCAGGAGCUGCUGGAGUCAACUAAAGCUGAAGAGUUGUGACAUUUUUCCAACACUUCUAAUGAAAAUUAAAGUUUAAAAAAAAAGUCCAAUAGUUUAAGUCAUCUUAUUGGAGGCUUCCUAACACAUCUGCAUGAUUUAAGGCUAACAAAAAAUAAAACAAAAAUAUAGUAACAAAGGGGGGAAACAACGCCCCGAGACAGAGAGGAAAGAGCACAGAAAAGUUGCAAAUGUAAACAAUAUAAAACAUCAUCAUCCUACAGAUCCUGGGACAGUACUUCCUGUUUCACUGCACUUUCAAAAUAAAAUAAAGUGCAUUAAUAACACUGGCUGUCCCUUUCACUUGUUUUUGGCUCUGAUGGUUCACCUGUCCGAGCUAGAGACCCAUCCACCAAUACACAUGAACAAGAUGUUUCUGAGAAUGGCUGUCUCACUAAAUGAAAAAUGAAAAUAAUAAAAUUAAAAAUAAUAAAAACAAAAAAAACAAACAAACAAAAAAAAAAACUUAAAUGAAGCAGUUUUUCCAAAAAAGGCCCCAGUAAAGGCAGGCAGUGAUAUGAGCGGAAAAUGAGGUGGAACAGAAGCAUCAAGCAGCUUUAACUCCAAACUUACCUUCAGCUAAACACAAAUUACCAGCGACUAUAUUCAUUACAAUGUGAUAUGGUUCAGGUGUGCACAGAUGAGUGCCAAGGAAAACGCUCACUUGCUGCCCUAAGGCGGAUAAACAGCAGCACAGUGAGGAUCAACAAACAUACAGCCCUUUAGGAUUGUAUGGAUUCAAAUAUGUAUAAAAAGAAAGAAUAAAACAAACAAAAAAAAGAAUAAAUCAAAAUUUCCUCCAUUUUUGACCAAAAAUAAGAAUUCAACAUUUAAACAAGAGAACGUGCCAUCAGCCAGCUGUAUUCAACAUAAAACAAUUAAAACAAUAACGAAAGUUAGAGUCAAGUCGAGCUGUGGCAGCUCCCUAUAAAAACCGUCAUCCUUUAUAUGAGUGGGAUCUACUUUAAUCACUUUUUUGGUCCGUUGUUGUGGCAAAGAAAGAAAAAAACCCACAUCCUUUCAUUAACCAUACAAGUUUUUGUAUCCACUAUAAUUUUCUAAGCAGGUAAAUUAACUGCAUGAAAACACUGAGUAAAUCUGUCACGGAUAAAGGAAGCGGAUAAAUUAGCACAGUUACUUAAAGGUUAAGAUUACCUAUAACAUGUCGUAAUCCGCCGUGACAAUUAGACCUCUUAAAGUUACUCAGAGAUCUUUAAGGGUUAUGACGGGCACCCUGUUAUCUGUGCUUGAUAGAUUUAAAGUUAGAUUUUAUGGAAUUUCCUGUAAAGUAAACCAGCACACUAGUCUUUUUAUAAAAUGUAGUUCCUUUGUAAAAAAAAAAAAAAAAAAAAAAAAAAUAAUACUGUCAGCUAUGUUGGUCAUCAAACAGGAUUAAAAUGAACUUCCCCACCGUCUGGCAGCAGGUAUGACCUGCCUGACGCAACAAGUACGAGUCGCCAACACCAGAAACACUCAAAUCACAAACUGGAUAUUUAUUAGGGUUUAACGCUCAGACGCAGAGCUGCAGUGGACCAGCAGGUGGAGCUGGAGCCCGAUAUCAAAUCACGGAAAAUAAAACCUGACCCGAUACGGUUUUUAAAGUCAGCAGCGGCCUUUAAAGAAACAAAACAAAAACCACUAAACUAACCGAUGGCACAAACACAUGAGCGAAGAGGCUGCUCCAAAAUUUGCUGCAAAUUUUUUCAUGCCAGCCUGAAGGAAUGAGUCCCAACAAAGUGGGUUUGACCUUUCUGCAUCAGCUCGGUACAAAAGUCCCUUUAAUUUUUUUUGGCUUCUUUUUUGGUUUUUCGUUUUAUCCAAUUUGAACUUGUAUAGAUUUUUAUAUUCCUUAAGUAAUAAGUGAAGACGAUAAAAUAUUUCCACACUUACAUUCAAGUGCUUAUAGGGUUAUAUUGCAUUGUUACCUUGUCUUAAUCUACUCUAAGCUGGAUUUGCAUUAAGCCUGCGUGUUUGAGAUGAAUUUACUGUAGAGAGAGAGCAAAGAAAAAACACUCACUCUCCUUUAGAAAAUAAAGUGUUUCAGGAUUAAUCAUUAAAUAUAUUCCAUUAAUUAUAAACAGCGUGUCUAAAUCACCUAUCAAAACAUUUAUCAAUUCACAUUUAAGGAGCAGGAAGAGUACAGAGGCACAGAAGCUUAUUGCUGCCACCGAUGUGAUAAAUGUAGAAAUACUGCGCUCAGAUAUUCACAUUGCUUUAACAAGGCUGUGAUCUGUGUUAGGGGAGGAGGGGAGGAGGGGAGGGGGUGAACCACAAGCAGUCUGACCGGUUAAUGAAGCCAAAUCAGGUUAUGACGUCGGCCUCCACAGUAAAGUGCACACUCCACAUGUGAAGAACAUUUGAGGCUUCGGAAAAACUAUCGUGCAACGUGUGAGGAAUCUUUGCAGGGGCGACAGUAUCGUCAUGUAAACAAACGGCGACGAGCCAUAACUUUGGAAGUUCAAGUUUGCUUUUUUCCCCCCUCCUCAAAGUGGAGUUUGUUAGUACCAGGGCUGAGUGAUGGUUCAACAGACAUCGUAAUAAUACAGGAGCUGAAAGAUGGGUGUGAGAUCAUCUCAGCUA
Long non-coding RNA from Oreochromis niloticus (Nile tilapia), 6116 nucleotides. RefSeq lists it as uncharacterized. Lineage: Eukaryota; Metazoa; Chordata; Actinopteri; Cichliformes; Cichlidae. The record is from RefSeq and is a predicted model, not a curated record. The transcript has 3 exons.